Molecule: ribosomal RNA, 467 nt
Filed under: uncultured bacterium
Lineage: Bacteria
Description: partial 16S ribosomal RNA
Rfam family: Bacterial small subunit ribosomal RNA
Source: RNAcentral
GACGAACGCUGGCGGCGUGCUUAACACAUGCAAGUCGAACGGAAAGGCCCUGCUUUUGUGGGGUGCUCGAGUGGCGAACGGGUGAGUAACACGUGAGUAACCUGCCCUUGACUUUGGGAUACUUCAGGAAACUGGGGCUAAUACCGGAUAGGAGCUCCUGCUGCAUGGUGGGGGUUGGAAAGUUUCGGCGGUUGGGGAUGGACUCGCGGCUUAUCAGCUUGUUGGUGGGGUAGGGGCUUACCAAGGCUUUGACGGGUAGCCGGCCUGAGAGGGUGACCGGCCACAUUGGGACUGAGAUACGGCCCAGACUCCUACGGGAGGCAGCAGUGGGGAAUAUUGCACAAUGGGCGGAAGCCUGAUGCAGCAACGCCGCGUGCGGGAUGACGGCCUUCGGGUUGUAAACCGCUUUCGCCUGUGACGAAGCGUGAGUGACGGUAAUGGGUAAAGAAGCACCGGCUAACUACGUG